GCUGUGAAGGUGUCCUGUUG
This 20-nucleotide non-coding RNA is filed under the name Arabidopsis thaliana (thale cress). Lineage: Eukaryota; Viridiplantae; Streptophyta; Magnoliopsida; Brassicales; Brassicaceae. The record is from RNAcentral.